AGCAUAUCAAUAAGCGGAGGAAAAGAAACCAACAGGGAUUGCCUCAGUAACGGCGAGUGAAGCGGCAACAGCUCAAAUUUGAAAUCUGGCUCCUUUUGGCGUCCGAGUUGUAAUUUGUAGAGGGUGCUUCGGGUGAAGCUCCGGUCCAAGUCCCUUGGAACAGGACGUCAGAGAGGGUGAGAACCCCGUGUCCGACCGGUAGCGCUCCCCAUGUGAAGCCCCUUCGACGAGUCGAGUUGUUUGGGAAUGCAGCUCUAAAUUGGUGGUAAAUUCCAUCUAAAGCUAAAUACCGGCCAGAGACCGAUAGCGCACAAGUAGAGUGAUCGAAAGAUGAAAAGCACUUUGAAAAGAGAGUCAAAAAGUACGUGAAAUUGUUGAAAGGGAAGCGCUUGCGGCCAGACUUGCCCGCGGAUGUUCAGCCCGUCUUUUGGCGGGUGCACUCUUCCGCGGUCAGGCCAGCAUCGGUUUGGGCGGCCGGACAAAGGCCCUGGGAACGUGGCCCCCCUCGGGGGGUGUUAUAGCCUGGGGUGCAAUGCGGCCAGCCCGGACCGAGGAUCGCGCUCUGCUAGGAUGCUGGCGUAAUGGCCGUAAGCGGCCCGUCUUGAAACACGGACCAAGGAGUCUAACAUCUAUGCGAGUGUUUGGGUGUCAAACCCGUGCGCGUAAUGAAAGUGAACGGAGGUGGGAACCUUAGGGUGCACCAUCGACCGAUCCUGAUGUCUUCGGAAGGAUUUGAGUAAGAGCAUAGCUGUUGGGACCCGAAAGAUGGUGAACUAUGCCUAGAUAGGGUGAAGCCAGAGGAAACUCUGGUGGAGGCUCGCAGCGGUUCUGACGUGCAAAUCGAUCGUCAAAUCUGGGUAUAGGGGCGAAAGACUAAUCGAACCAUUUAGUAGCUGGUUCCUGCCGAA
Molecule: ribosomal RNA, 908 nt
Filed under: Septonema crispulum
Lineage: Eukaryota; Fungi; Ascomycota; Dothideomycetes; Venturiales; Cylindrosympodiaceae
Description: LSU rRNA
Rfam family: Eukaryotic large subunit ribosomal RNA
Source: RNAcentral